UUAUUUCAACUUAAAGCUUAAGGUCACCUGAGGCCACUCUGAUUGCUGCCUGGAAAGUGGAAGGAUUGAGUACAGCAGGAGUUCAAGGUGUGCUGACACAAGAGCCGGCCGGCAAGCAGGCUUCUGAUUCCACUCAACACAGCAGAGCCACUCCGUGCACCAUUUCUCGAUUGCCCAGGAAGAUUUUUCCUGAACAGCCUGAAAACCCAAGUGAGGCUGAAAGAUGCUGAGAGUGUCAACUUGAAGAUUAGGAAUAAUACACUUGCGCACACAGAGAGACACUAAGGGUGUGCACGCACAGAGAAAAGACCAUGCGAAGAGGCAACAAGAGGGCAGCCACCUGCAAGCCAAGAAGGAAAGACUUAGGAGAAACCAGGCCUGCUGAUGUCUUGUUCUUGGGCUUCUGGCUUCUAGAACUGUGCAAGAACUAGAUUCCUGUUGUUUAAAACCCCCUAGUUGUGGUACUUCAUCACAGCCGCCCUGGUAGACUAAACUUGUAUUUGUCUGUUCUCAUGCUGCUAAUAAAAACAUACCUGAGACUGGGUGAUUUGUAAAGGAAAGAAGUUUAAUGGACACAAAGUUCCACAUGGCUGCGGAGACCUCACAAUCAUGGUGGAAGGCAAAGGAGGAGCAAAGGCACAUCUUACAUGGUGGCAGGCAAGACACCUUGUGCAGGGGAACUCCCAUUUAUAAAACCAUCAGAUCUAAUGAGACGUAUUCACUACCACGAGAACAGUAUGGGGGAAACCUUUCCAAUGAUUCAAUUAUCUCCACCUGGCCCCACCCUUGACACAUGGGGAUUAUUAUCAUUCAAGUUGAGAUUUGGGUGGGGACACAGCCAAACUAUACCAAAAUCCUAUUCUCUUUUUGUCCUGCCAAUUUUUUCAGUAUUUACAAUUUGCCUUCCUAUAUACCAUAAUCUCCUACAAUAUUUCUGUCUUCUUCACAUGCAACAACUCCUUAAGUUGGUAUUUCUGUGUCUACUUCUAUGAAUUAAGAAACUAUUACAGCUGGUGAGCAGGAGAGCUGGUGCUAUAGACCGAGCAUUUGUCUCCCCAAAAUUCACAUAUUUGAAAUCCUAAUCCCCAAGGUAAUGGUAUUAGGAGGUAGGGGCCUUUGGCAGGUGAUUAGGUCAUGAGGGCAGAGCCCUGGUGAAUGGGAUUAGUGCCCUUACAAAAAGAGACCACAGAGAAUCCCCUGGGCCCUUCUACCAUGUGAGGACAUGGAGAGAAGGAGCCAUCACUGAACCAAGAAUUGAGCCCUCAUCAGACUGAAUCGGCCGGCUCCUUGAUCUUGGUCUUCUCAGUUUCCAGAACUGUGAGAAAUAAAUUUCUGUUGUUUAUAAGUCGCCCAGUCUACGGUAUUCUAUUACAGCAGACGGAACAGACUAAGCCAGCUGUCCUCCAACACAUGGUUACACAGCCCAAAUGCUUCUUGAUGCAUUGCACUGCUAAGUUAAGCUGGAGUGCAAAUAUGGAGAAGAACGUAAAUGCACAGGCAUGAGAUUCUGUAACUUGUCAUUAAACCACAGCUCCAAAGCUGAAGAGUAAUGUCAUUGUAAUUCACCAAUCUUUUUUUUUUUUUAUUAUUAAACUACCAUUCAUGCAGCCAGGGCGGUGCAGAUCCCUUCCUGAAAAAUUUUGACAACCUCCAAGUACCAUUCAGAAACAUGAAGGGCUCUCAGUGGGACCUUGUUAUUCUGAGCAUUAACACAAAGCCAUUUCACACAAUACAAUACAACUUGAUUUUGUAUGGCACCCCAUUCCAGUAGGGACCCCAGUGGAAAUUCAUGCAUCCUGUUUUUAAUCCUCCUGGAGUGAUUUAAUUUCAAACAUACAACUACUUUUGCUUAAUGCAACCUGCAUUUGAAGAAAGGUUCCUUCUUGACAACUUGAGUGAGAGGAUGACAAGGUCUUUAUUCUGACUGUGACUCAAUAGACCACAUUUUGCCUCUGAUGAGGGUAUAUGAAUACCACCUAGGGAGGGUGGUAUGAAUGGUACUUGGAGUUUGUCAAAAUUUUUCAUUUCCCCUCCUGUAUGAAGUACUUAUGGACUAAAAUUAUAGUAUUGAAUAACAACAAAAACUAUCAAAAUGACUUAAUAUUUUUUUCGUUUCCUUGAAAAUAAAAAUUCUGUUUACUCACCUAUUAUAGAAAGACAGCUUGGUCAAGUGGAGCCAACAGCAAGUUGUAAUUCUUGGUUUUUGCCCCAGGAAAAACUUUGCCAAGUUGUGUGACCUUAGGAGGAACAGCAUUUCUUCCCUCUGGAGGAUGUACCAUUCAGAGAACCACCUCAAAUGUGGAAACCAGGCCCUUGUCAGACACCAGACCUGAACACACCUUGACCCUGGAUUUCCUAGGCUCUAGAACUGUGAGAACGAAAUUUCUGUUUUUUAUAAAUUACCUAACCUCAGGACCUCUGUCAUCGCAGCAUAAAUGACCUAAGACAAGUAGACUAACAGAAUGAAUACAAGCAAGAUAUAAAAUAUUAGAGGGUUGCAUGGCACAUGGAAAAUGAUAACACUGAAUAACUACACAACUAAUAAUGAAUGUAAUUUGUAAUAACUACAAAACCUGUAUAAAUAAAGGUACCUAAGAAUUUUCCUAGCCGAGA
RNAcentral lists this long non-coding RNA (2613 nucleotides) under Homo sapiens (human). RNAcentral's name for it is "HSALNT0215589". Lineage: Eukaryota; Metazoa; Chordata; Mammalia; Primates; Hominidae. The record is from RNAcentral.